GCCAGUCUGCAUGGAGCCGACCUUGAAAUACCACCCUUUAAUGUUUGAUGUUCUAACGUGGACCCGUGAUCCGGGUUGCGGACAGUGUCUGGUGGGUAGUUUGACUGGGGCGGUCUCCUCCUAAAGAGUAACGGAGGAGCACGAAGGUUGGCUAAUCCUGGUCGGACAUCAGGAGGUUAGUGCAAUGGCAUAAGCCAGCUUGACUGCGAGCGUGACGGCGCGAGCAGGUGCGAAAGCAGGUCAUAGUGAUCCGGUGGUUCUGAAUGGAAGGGCCAUCGCUCAACGGAUAAAAGGUACUCCGGGGAUAACAGGCUGAUACCGCCCAAGAGUUCAUAUCGACGGCGGUGUUUGGCACCUCGAUGUCGGCUCAUCACAUCCUGGGGCUGAAGUAGGUCCCAAGGGUAUGGCUGUUCGCCAUUUAAAGUGGUACGCGAGCUGGGUUUAGAACGUCGUGAGACAGUUCGGUCCCUAUCUGCCGUGGGCGCUGGAGAACUGAGGGGGGCUGCUCCUAGUACGAGAGGACCGGAGUGGACGCAUCACUGGUGUUCGGGUUGUCAUGCCAAUGGCACUGCCCGGUAGCUAAAUGCGGAAGAGAUAAGUGCUGAAAGCAUCUAAGCACGAAACUUGCCCCGAGAUGAGUUCUCCCUGAGACUUUAGGUCUCCUGAAGGAACGUUGAAGACGACGACGUUGAUAGGCCGGGUGUGUAAGCGCAGCGAUGCGUUGAGCUAACCGGUACUAAUGAACCGUGAGGCUUAACCUUACA
RNAcentral lists this ribosomal RNA (764 nucleotides) under Salmonella enterica. RNAcentral's name for it is "partial 23S ribosomal RNA". It matches the Rfam family "Bacterial large subunit ribosomal RNA", at positions 2170 to 2925 of the family's 2925-position model. Lineage: Bacteria; Pseudomonadati; Pseudomonadota; Gammaproteobacteria; Enterobacterales; Enterobacteriaceae. The record is from RNAcentral.